GGUACAAAACAGGGCUUCCUAAGGGGUGUCUCUUUUGCCUAGAGCAAAAAGCCGCUCUCUAUUUGGCACAAACUACCCACAUGGGGCAUCCUAAGGGGCAUCCCUUUUGGGCCAGCACAGAAAGGGGCAUCUCAAGGGACAUCCCUUUUUGACAUGCCAAAUAUUUUAGUUCUUUUUCAUAAAAGGGAUGUCCCAAGGGGUUUUCUUUUUAUUCCAAGAGCUGAAACAUG
Molecule: long non-coding RNA, 230 nt
Filed under: Elaeis guineensis (African oil palm)
Lineage: Eukaryota; Viridiplantae; Streptophyta; Magnoliopsida; Arecales; Arecaceae
Description: long non-coding RNA (EGUI_LNC059452)
Source: RNAcentral